GGGGGUGUGGCUCAGGGGUAAAGUGCUUACCUUGCAAACACAAGGCCCUGGGUUUGAUCCCCAACACCUCCA
This 72-nucleotide transfer RNA is filed under the name Heterocephalus glaber (naked mole-rat). It matches the Rfam family "tRNA". From Rfam's summary of the family: Transfer RNA (tRNA) molecules are approximately 80 nucleotides in length. The record is from Rfam by way of RNAcentral. Lineage: Eukaryota; Metazoa; Chordata; Mammalia; Rodentia; Bathyergidae.